Molecule: long non-coding RNA, 556 nt
Organism: Amphibalanus amphitrite
Lineage: Eukaryota; Metazoa; Arthropoda; Thecostraca; Balanomorpha; Balanidae
Exons: 3
Source: RefSeq, a predicted model, not a curated record
CGGAGAGCGCCACGUACACGUACUCGACGUUCAUCAGCAGCCUGGGCGGCGCUCUCUCCCUCUACCUCGGUAUUGCUCUCAUCCUGCUGGUAGAGUUGGUGGAGCUGCUGGUUUUCCUGGCGUGGGACACGGCCCGCUUCAUGUGCGGCUACUACCCCCUCGACGGCCACUCUAGCAGCCAGGUGGUGCCCGCGGAGAAGCGAGCCGUGCGGGUUGUUUUCACAGCCCCGGAGAACAAGUUUGCAAACAAGCUACACACCAGCCAUCAAAUGAUGGAGACGCCUGCAACUCAAAUAGAAUAACUCUGACCAGGACCUUAUCCGAUCCAAUUAUAAGACAAUCUACCUCGUAUUGGGCAGUACGGAUAAUUUUGGUGAAACGAAAAUAGCUCGUAAGGUGAUGACAACUGUGCCUUAUUCAAGCUCAGAUUAUUGUAAACUAAUGUUCAACACAAUCGUUACUUCGCACAUGUCUUGCGGCUUUCAAUAUUGGGUUGACGCCAUGCCUCAACUAUAUGUCUUGUGCCUAGGACACGUUAUACUACACGGAGCAGACA